CUCUCUCUCUCUCUCAUUUCUUUCGAAAUCAAAUUAUAAAACAUGGGUAGUGCUGAAACGGGAGUAGUCGUUAUCAACAGGGCAGAGAUCGAUACUCGAGCUCCUUUCCGGUCAGUUAGAGAGGCUGUUACGUUGUUCGGCGAGAAAGUUUUGGCUGGCGAGCUCUAUGCUAAUAAGCUCAAAGAGGUUCCCUUAUUUUACUUUACAUCUCCAUAUCUUUCAAGUUUCUUAAUUUUAUCAUAACUAGCUAUGGCUUCCCUUAGAUUAAUGGCUCUCCAUAUCCUAGCAUUUGCAUCCACUUUUGACGUUAAUUGCUUGUUGGCUAUUGCUUGUGACAGAAUUAAAGUUUUCUUAAGGGCUGAGUUAUGAUCUCUAAGGCUGUUGUGUUCCACUUUGCUGUUGUGUUCCAGUUUUUGGCUUUCUUUUAUCAUGUGAGGGAAUAAAGUAGAAACCUUAGACUUGGAGACUAUUCUUUGUACAUUGAGUUUUUAAAGGCUUUAAGAAUCUAUCUUUCUUGCCUUUAAUGAGGAACUUGCAUGCACACCCCUUAUAAAAUCUGUAAGAGACUACUUUGGGUGAUUAAUUAUUGACGGUUUUAAUUAAGUUUAAUGUAAUUAUUAGUUCCUUGAUUUGGAUUUGGUUGUAUUUAGAUGCACGAUGGAGCAAUGGAAAAUGGGCAGGGUUCUUCCAAGCUUGGAACAGUUACAGCAGAGCUAGAAGAGACAAAACAGAGCCUUGAAAAAGCUAAAGAAGAAAGUAUGAUGAUGGCAGAUUGUGUUUCUUCUCUUAAAGAAGAGCUCAAAAGAACAAAGCGAGAGCUCCGACAAUUAAAAGUCCGUGAAUCUGAAAUGGAGUCUGAAAUUGAAGAUGUGAAGGUUGUUGAAGAUUCAACAAAAUUUGAAGUGAAAAUGCGAUCUAGACAAGAAGAAGAAGAAGAAAGGAUUGAAUUUCAAAAGAAGAGAUAUGUGACUUUUGCAAAUCCUCCCUCCAUAGCUCAAGUCAUGAUUCCACAAGGCCCUGAAGCACUUGAGAGACACCCUUCUCUUAGAAAGAAGAAGAAGAAGAAGCCAUUGAUCCCUCUAAUUGGUGGGAUUUUCUCCAAGAAAAAAUCAAGUCAAAAACUCACUUCCCCAUGAAAAUUCCCACAUCUUUCAAGUUCCAACAUUAAUAAUCUAUGAAUAUGACCUCUAGCUCCCAAAAUUUUCUUAUUUCUUUUUGCCAGUUUCUUAUGUGAUUCUACCUAUAUUGGGCCUGGAAUAUUGAGAUGUUGUAACUUUGUAUGGUUGCUCCAUGAGAAACUAUGUAACAACUAAUAAGAUGUCUUAAAAAAUAAUUUUGGUUCCUCAUUCAACUAUCAUGGGCUCCAGCAUCCUUCACCUUUUGUCAUCUAAUGUUGGGAAAGCCCACCAAUUUGAGGCCUAAGAACUCAACAGUCAAGGCAAUGGUCCAUCUAGCUAAGUCUCUCCCCUCUUAUAACUUCAAAA
RNAcentral lists this unclassified non-coding RNA (1484 nucleotides) under Hevea brasiliensis (rubber tree). Lineage: Eukaryota; Viridiplantae; Streptophyta; Magnoliopsida; Malpighiales; Euphorbiaceae. The record is from RNAcentral.